Molecule: long non-coding RNA, 2724 nt
Organism: Rhinolophus ferrumequinum (greater horseshoe bat)
Lineage: Eukaryota; Metazoa; Chordata; Mammalia; Chiroptera; Rhinolophidae
Exons: 5
Source: RefSeq, a predicted model, not a curated record
CGGGACGACCUAGAGAGCUCCUCGAUUCGCCGCCGCCGCCCCUGCUGCGGCUGCCGGGGCCGCUCCAGAGUGAAGGCCGGUGCGGAGCGGGGAGGACGAGCAGAGGGCCGAGGCAGGCCGGGCCCGGCCGCUUCAGGAAGUUCUAAGAAGAUGUGCUCCAUCAAAAUUCAGGGAAUAGGCCAAAGGAAAAAAAGGUGAAGGAAUUAGGUAACAAAGCCCAACAUAGGAGGGAAGCAAAGGAAAUUCCUAGGAUGAUGGUGAAGCAGAAUCCCAGGAUGACAACUAUGGAUAGCAAUCAGCCAGCCCAGAUCGGUGGAGUGGGUCAGAAGAGGUUUCCUCAAGAAGAUAAAACUGAUAGCUACGUCUUGCUUGCUAUGAGGCCUUAGUAAAGAUUGAAUGCUUGACGGUGGAUCACCAUGAGACCUGAGCUGUGCUUCAUGAACCGGGUGACGUGUGACCCACAAAGUCAGCCAUUAAGUUGGCACGCCCAGCCGUCCUCCAUCAUCAAAUGGAAGUGGUAUAUAUGAGAGUGGGCUCAAGGAGACCCUGAAGACACAGGCAACAUAAAAUGAAAACCGGGCCAUGCUUCCUCAUGGAAUACAGAAUAAGAUUCAGUAAGGUACUUUUAUUUGUGUUGAGAAUAUGAGAGUGAAUUAAACAUACAACAUCUCUGUUUUCAUGGCACUUGUGCUAUAGUCGGGGAAGAGAGUCAACAAGCAAAUGAAUAAAACAGAUACACAAUAUGUCAAAUGGUGAUUACAUUCUAUGAAGAAAAAAAUAAAGCAAGAUAAGAGGAUAGAGAGUGACAGAUGUGAACAAGGAGAGAUAUCAAGAUAUGUAUAUGUCUGGGGCAAAAGCGUUCCGAAGAAAAAGACAAGUGCAAAAGCAAGCAAACCAUACCUAUGUGUCCAGAAGUAGCCAGGAGACUUGUGUCGCCGUAGAAGAGCCAGCAAAGAGGAGAUGAGAUCCGUGGGGAAGCAAGGGCCAGAUCUUGUAGCCUGCAGGCCAGGGUGAGGGGUUUGAUUUUAAUGUGAUUGCUUCAGGCUGCUGUGCGAAGAGACUGUGGGAGUGUAAUUGUGGGAACAGGAGGACCAGUUAGGAGACUGUGUUGGUCCGGUCCUCUGAGAAGCCAAACUGAGAUAAGAUGUGUAAGAGAUGUGUUAAGAGGAACACCUACGAGGGGAAAUGAGGGAGUGGCAGAAUAGGUGCUGAGAGUCUUCAGACGGAAAUGAAAUUCUAACCUAGGUGAUGGACAGAAAGAGGACAGAAGGGUUAGAUGGAAGAGUGAAACUGCAGUGCUCUUCUAUGAAAGUUUGUCAAGGCCGAUGGGAUGUCCCUGAACCAAAGCCACCCAUCAGAGAAGUCCCCCAUCUCUCAGGAGUGGGCCUGCCCCAGUGUUCCUGCCGUGCUGUCACUGGCUGGAAGCAGACCUUGGGAAGUAUGGCUUCAGUGUGAACAGAGGGAUGGAUUCUAGAGUGCAGCAACUGGGGCCACCAUUCAGUUUUGCUCCUUCACUGCCAGGCUUAUUGCCAUCACAGAGACUUUUGCCAUAAUCCAGGGAAGAGAGAUCAUGGUGGCUUAGGUUAAGGAUGUAGAUGAAUUUUGACUGUAUGUCCAUCUGGAAGUAUUUUGAAAGUUAAGCUGACCUCUUUGGCCAAUAGAUGAUAUGGAGUGUGAGGGAGGGAGAAGGGACAAAGAUUCCUCCGAGAUUUUUUGGUUUUAAGUAUCAGAAGAAUGUGGUUGCCAUUUGCUGAAAUGGAGAAGACUGUGGGAGUCGUAACCAUGGAAAAUCGGAUGUUCAUUUUGGCCAUUUUUACUUUGAGAUGUCGAUUAAACCCCCCACAUGGAGAUAUUGAGAAGACAGCAGAAUACAGAAGUCUGCGCUUUAAGGGAGCGUUGCAAACUAGAAAUAUAAAUUUGAAAAUCAUCAGCAUGUGGACAGCAGUUAAAGUCACGGGACUGCAUUAGAUUAUCUAAGGAAUAUAUAGAGAUGAAGGAAGAAGGGGUUCAAGGCCUGACAGGGAGAAGAGGAGAAUCCCACAAAAAGACUGAAGCAGAGGCAGUCAGUAGUAGGUAGGAGGAGACGGACAGAAGAGUGGUGUCCUGGAAGCCAAGUGAAAAACGUUUUAAGGAAGGAAAAAGUUUCAGUUUUCUACUUCUUUAGUCUUGAUACCUAUUAAAUGAAAUUUCUAUGAUGUAUUAAUAUCUUACUAAGGGAACCUACUAAACAAUCAGAUAUCCUAAUGUAAUAUAUUUUUUAUAUUUCUCUUUCAUAUUUAUUUUCUCUUCUAUAUUCUGAAAUAAAGUAGUUUUAAAAAUCUGCACAACUGUUUUAUAUUUAAAGUUUUUCAACUAGUUACCUGCAGAGGCUUCUUUAAACAGGGCAUGGCUGUCCAGAGAAAUAAAUUCAAAAUAAAGAGAAAUAAUUUCAUAGAACAGUGCUUCUUAAGCCUUUUUUGGGUUAUCGACCCCUUUGGAAAUAAGGUGAAAGCUUUCCUCUGAAACAUGCAUACACACACACACACACACACACACACACACACGCAGUGUUUUGAUUGUAUUUAGAAGGAGUCUAGAUCCCUAAAGCCAACCCAUGCGUCCUUCAGGCAGCCCUGAAGCCAGGCCUUGAAUUGACUACAGAGUCCGCAUUCUUAUAACCUUUAUUUUCUUCUUGGUUAUUUAGUAGGUCCACUUAGCAAGAUCUCAAAACGUCACCAUUUUAAG